Molecule: long non-coding RNA, 699 nt
Filed under: Malus domestica (apple)
Lineage: Eukaryota; Viridiplantae; Streptophyta; Magnoliopsida; Rosales; Rosaceae
Description: long non-coding RNA (MDOM_LNC017583)
Source: RNAcentral
UCUUAUGCUUCCAGAGGAAGAUACCACAUCUGCCUGAGGAACAAUAUAGGGAAAGUGAGAAGGAUACAAGGAAGCAUGUGGAGACAAGCGUAACAGAACAUGUGCCGAUACAUCCACUACUUUAUCAACAGCAAAAGUAUCCCAUAUCAGCAGGGUCGAACGUACUCUAGAUUUGAUGGACUUGUUUUGACCUUCAAAUUCUUCAGUCGGCCUUAUACUCUGGAGGAAACCAGAAAAUCCUCCAGCCCAUUCAAGAAUAAGCCUGUGGAAAGUUAUUUUUCAAAAGCAAAAGUAUUUCAUAUCAUCUAUUCUCUUUUUCUUCUCUUUAUCCUUCAUGCUGCAUGCAAGAUAGGGAGAAUGAGAACAAUCAGCCGGAACUCGAAAUCAAACUUCUGAUCUGGGACUGAUUGCUUGGAGCUCUGAUUGCUUACCUUGUCUGUCACCUCUUUCAGCAGAUCCCCUAGCUCGGCGACUUAGGGGACUUCUACUACAUGGUUUGUAUCGCGCUUGACCAAGUCUGAAACUACAAGUAAGCUUCAAGUGAAAUUGAUACAUUACCUUGUGCAUCUCCACCAGUUAACCACCCAUGGAUGGAGGAGUACUUCUAGAGAAGAUGUCACAUCUACCUAUGAGACAGAUAAGGCAAGUGAAGACGAGAGCUUGAACCUAUGUCAUUUGUACUAAAUCAUUCACUUGUAC